This is a long non-coding RNA of Quercus lobata, 5865 nucleotides long. RefSeq lists it as uncharacterized. The record is from RefSeq and is a predicted model, not a curated record. The transcript has 3 exons. NCBI's taxonomy places the organism in Eukaryota, Viridiplantae, Streptophyta, Magnoliopsida, Fagales, Fagaceae.
UAAGAACUGCACAGGCUUUCACCCCACAAGCAAAAACCUCUCUUAGUUUCCUGGAGUUACUCACUUUGUCAAUUUAUUUCCAUUGCAAAAAAGAAAAUCAUGGCUGCUGAACUAGUAAGAGAAGCAUUUCUGUCUGCAACCCUUCAAAUGUUAUUUGACAGGAUGGCAUCUCAGGAGGUCGUGAAGUUCAUCCGGGGAAGAAAAGUCCCUGCUACACUACUAACAAAGCUGAAGACAUGGUGUCUUACCCUCAGCAAAGUGCUCAAUGACGCAGAGGAAAAGGAAAUCACAGACAUAAUUGUCAAAGAAUGACUUGAUGAGCUUAAGGAUGCUGUCUAUCACACAGAGGACCUUUUGGAUGAGAUCGCUACUGAAGCUUUGCGGUGCCAGGUGGAAGCUGAUUUUGUUACCUCUACGAGUAAGGUACGCAACUUCAUCUCUACUUCAUUUGAUCGGUCUGGGAGAAAACUAGAAUCAAAGAUACAAGAAGUCUUAGAGAAGCUGGAAUAUCUAGCUUUACAAAAAAAUGUUAUAGGUCUGAGAGAAGGUGUUGAAGGGAGAUCUUCCCAUAGAGUGCCCACAACUUCUCUGGUAGAUCCAGAAACUAUAAUUUACGGUAGGGAUGAUGAUGAAAAGGCAAUAGUCAACUUGCUGCUCUCAAAGGAUGUAGCCAGCAACAACCAGUCGGGUGUGAUUCCCAUUGUGGGCGUGGGUGGGGUUGGAAAGACAACCCUUGCUCGGCACAUCUACAACAACCAAAAAAUCAUAGAACAUUUCAGCCUUUUAGAGCAUGGGUUUGUGUUUCAAAAGAAUUUGACGUUCCUAAGAUAACUAAAAAAUAUUCUUGAGGCCGUCAGUUCACAAAUUUUGAUACUAUCCAAACUAAAUUGAGGGACUAUUUGAUGGGAAAGAUUUCUACUGAUUCUUGAUGAUGUAUGGAAUGACAAAAGGGAUGCUUGGGAGCUCUUGAAUGAACCCUUUAAACGUGGAACAUCGGGAUGUAGAAUUAUCGUGACAACACGCAACGAAAGUGUUGCAUUGAUCACGCGCCCUAUUCAAAUUUUUAAUCUUUAUAAAUUAUCAGAAGAAGAUUGUUGGCUAUUAUUUGCAAAUCAUGCCUUUGAAAAGGGAAAAUCUAAUGCAUAUCCAGAAUUAAAAAGAAUUGGUGAAGAAAUCAUUAAGAAGUGUGACGAUCUACCAUUAGCAGCAAAAGCACUUGGUUGUCUAUUGCAAUCUACAAUAGAUGUAGACUGGAAUAAAAUUUUGAAAAGUGAAAUUUGGAGUCUGCCUAUUGAUGGGGUGAUAUUCUUCCAGCUUUGAGAAUAAGUUACAAUUAACUACCCUCACAUUUAAAGCGAUGUUUUGCAUAUUUUUCGAUCUUCCCAAAGAAUUAUCUAUUCACAAAGGAAGGACUUGUUCAGGGAUGGAUGGGAGAGGGUUUCCUGCAACAACACAACAAGAAUGAAGAAAUGGAAGUUAUAGGCCAAAAUAUUUUGAUAGAACUUGACUUGGAGAUUAUAUUAAGACCAAAAUAUAUCAUAAUCAUGAAUUUGCACUCCCACUAGGCCACUGCUACUAUUACCAAAGAAACUAUAAUUUUUUUACCACUUUGCUAGGGGCAAAAAGGUAAACUACACUGGAUUUGGAUUCAAGUAUUUUGGGACAAUGUUUGUUUUUUUUUUUUUUUAAUACAACUUUGAGAUUAUAUUAAGACCAAAAUAUAUCAUGGAUUUGCACUCCCACUACUGGUACUACUAUUAUUACAGUAUUUCCAAAGAAGCUAUAAUUGUUUUGACCAUAUUGCUAGGACAAAAAGGUAAACUAUGCCGGAUUUGGACUUUUCAAGUUUGGGAAAGAAAAUUUUUUUUAAGUAAUUUAAUAGUAGAAAGAGAAGAUAUUUGAAUUAUGUACCGGAUGAACUAAAGGAUGUAUCGGGACAGCUUUCUUGUAUGUGUUAUUUGAUGUAUAUGAUAAACUUUUCUUUCAAAUUUGUAUGAAGUUUUUUGCUAUUCAUGUGUAGUUAGUAGUUACUACUUACUGCAUGGCUCAUUAUCUUUUAUGUUUGAAUUAAAAGAGUCUUAAGUUUAUUAUAUCACAAAAAAAAAAAUAAUAAUAAUAAUUGUUGGAAUUAGAGAUGUUCAUCACUUGAGUGCAUUUAGAUUGAGGAAGGAGGAUCAAUUUGCCAAUCAACAUGUGUCUUAUCGGGUUUGAAAUUGCACAAUAUAUCAAACAUACUAAUAGAAAAGGAUUAGCUUAUUAACUGUUUUUUUUUUUUUUUUUUUUUUUUUUUACUUAGAGUUUGCAACCAUCAAUUUCAAGACUUUAAAAGACCUAAACAAAUAAUCUGGCAAUCACUCAAAACUCACAACACAAUGGAAUGAUGAAGCAAAAAAAUGAGAAAAACUCAAACAAAUACUUUAAUGAUAGUUCACAACAAUAAUUUAGCUCGAUGGCAAUAACUAUGUAAAAAAUAAUAGAUUUUUUGGCGACAAGUCUAAAUUUAUAGAUGGUCAUGAAAUUUAGGGUAUAUUUAACCCUAUUUUUAUUAAAUAGAUUUUUGAAACUAGCCAUGGCCUUUCAAGUCAAAUUGGGCCAAUCAACACGUUUUAUGUUUUUGUUUCAUCUUGUCUUUUAACGGUCCGUUAAAUAAUUUGUUGUUCUUAGAGUCUGUUUAGAUACUGUUUAUUUUGCUAAAAACUGGAAACACUGUAACAAAAUAAUUUUUAAAUGUGUGAAUAGUGCCGUGAGACCCAUUUUUAAUAAAAAAUUUGCUGAAAAAAGAUGUUUGUGAGUCCCGUAAACAGUGCAAAGGACCCACUGGUGUGACAUAAAGUCACAGAAACAUGCUUCUCCCAAAAAAAAAAAAAAAAAAAAGUUGCAACGCAGACGCAAGACGCAAGACGCAGACGCAAUCCAAACCUGUACUUAGUGUCCAAGUUUAUUAGGUGUGCAAUAUUUUGUUAUUUUAAAACUUAACAAUAUUGUAUACCUUAAUUGCUUUUGACAUACUAGUAGUGUCUCCUACUACCCAAUUGUGUAGGAUGAUUUUGGGCCAACCCUAGAAGUCAAUAAUUAUAAAAGAAUAAUUACAUAGAAUUUAUUUGGUAAUAAAACAUCAUUUUUUUCUACUGUAACUCAACAAAUUAGAAAAUAACUCAAUUCAAACGUACAAUAUUUUAACAAUAGUGGAAGUUUUUGAAAAUGGUUCAUAGGUAUGAAGAAAAUAUACUUUUUUAUGAGAGUAAAUGUGCUAAUUUUCUAUACAUUGAUGCCUUAGAAUUUUCAUAGUUGAAGACUUAUUUUUCUAUUUUGUUUUUAGCAACCCUAGCCUAUGGAAAAUUAUUGUAUAGUCAAAGACUAUAAAAUAAUAGCCAUAGUUUAUGGAAAAUUAUUGUAUAGUCCCGGACAAUACUCCUUUAUUCACACGAUUUUGUUAAUGAUAAAUAAAAAAAUUUAUGUUAAUAGUAAAUACAUAUAUUAGAAGUAAUUAAAACUUGUUAAUUAAUUUUGUUGUGAAAUUGUUGUGUAAACAUGACCCUAUUUUAAUUACCUUUUUUGUCUUUACUGUCAUUGCCAAAAAUUUGAGAAAACCAUACACUACACCAUUUUUGUGUGAGCUAACCAAAGAACAUCCUAAAGUGACAUGUGGUCUGUCACCAUUACCCUGCUAAUAUUUGUCUUUCACAUCUUAUAAAAAUAUCACCACUAGCUCUAGUAGAGCUACACAGCCUACAUUACACUACUAAUAACAAACCUUCACACUCACACUCACACAUUUCAUGUUUCAUGUUUGUGUUCCAUCUUAUCUUUUAACAAUCCAUUAAAUAAAUUUAGCUUUGUUGUUCUUAGUGUCCAAGUUUAUUAGGUGUGCAAUAUUUUCUUAUUAUUAAACUUAACAUUAUUGUAUACCUUAAUUGCUCUUGACAUAAAGGUAGUGUUGAUAUUCUUUUAGCUCCAUAAUUUUUCCCUAGUAUGAAGGAGAUGAAUUGCCUAUAAGUUAAUCACCAAUAAACUCCUAGUACCCAAUUGUGGAGGAUGAUUUUAAGCCAACCCUAAAAGUCAAUAAUUAUAAAAAUUAAAAAAAUAGUUACAUAGAAUUUAUAUUGUAUUAAAACCUCUCUUUUUUUCUAGUGUAACUCAACAAAUUAGAAAAUAAGUCAAUUCAAACAUACAAUAAUUUCGCAAUUGUGGAAACUUUUGAGAAUGGUUAUGAUGAAAAUAGACUCUCUUUUUUUUAAUGGGAGAAAAUGGGCUGAUUUUCUAUACAUUUGAUGCCUUAGAAUUUUCAUAGUUGAAGACUUUAUUUUUCACCAGUCUAUAUUGUUUUUUUUGCAUUCUUUGAACUUAUUAUUUUACAUUUUACUUUUCUAUGAAAGAUAAUUGACGUUUUCAGGUAAUGUCUUGAUAUGUCUAAAUUCUCUAAUUUCUUUUUUUUUUCCUUUGUAUGUGUCUUAGGAGAUGCUAGGUCUGCCACAUCCUUGAAAGAUAUUAGCAUAAAAACUAUUUACUCGGAAUUCAUGAGUUAGCUUUUUUUUAACCUAAAAAAAAUUAUGUUAGGUUGUUAAAUUAAUAGAUUGGAAUUAUCACAAUAGAUUGCGUUGUGCCCUUGUGAGCCUCACGGACGCACACAAGGGAACUCCAACAUUGAAGGAGGUGAAAAUUGGAAUUAUCACAAUUUUCAUAUCUUUCACGGACCCACCAACAAUGGUAUCAGGUUUGAAGUCCCACUCCUCUUUUCUCUGCACCUAGAGGUAAUAAAUGCGCACUAAAGACCCUCUAGGCUUAGCACAACAUUUCGCCCUCAAAUUGCUGUUGAUUGUUUUUUUUUUUUUCUUUUUUUCUUUAUUUGUCAUUGCCAAUUUUUGGGAGUACUAUACCAACAAUGCCUAGAGUGACACGUGUUAUGUCUCUUCACGUCCUUAUUUCAUAUUAGCUCUGGUUCUAUAUAUGGCCUCCACUACACUCAUACACUCACACUCUUACACUCUUUGAUUGUCAUUCUCUUGCUCCCUCUCUCUACUAUUGGUCUUUUUUUUAUUUCAAAAUCUUCACCCUCACCAUGACCCGCCUAGGAAGGAUGGCCAAAGCUUGGAAUAUCUUGAACAAGAACGAAGGUUGGGACUUCACCGAGUGCAGGAUGAAGUUGAAAAAAUUUCUUUAUGGAAAUAAAUAUCAAACUCAUGGUAUUUUUAAAAAUUUGUUUUUUCCUUCUUGUUACUAAUUUUUUUCGUUUUGCUUUAUUUCUUUUUUGUAUAGAGUGUCUUGCCAAAAGUAUAGAAAAAAAGGUCAAAAAAUUCUUGUCUGGAAAGAAAUAUAUGGGAAAAGUUCAAGGGACUGACGUUUCUUCUAGGGUGGCGAAGGUGGAUGCUAGUUCAGGAGAUCAUCAAGAAGAUGCAAAGAAGAAAAAGGGCACAGGGGUCAUGCCAUUACUUUCCAACGUCAUGGUUGUUGAAGGUGCUGUCGAGAUCGACUUAAAAGGAGUCGGGAAGAUUGUGAGUGUCCAUGAUAAGAGCCUGACGGCUGGCACUGCAAAGAUUGGUAGCUCAAUGCUUGGCUUGGAUGGCAUUGAGACCAUGGAAAACGUGAAACAAAUUUAUCAAAAGUGCAAAAGUUAGAGGGUAAGAUGGAUGCUGGAUUUCAAAGAAUGGACCACAAAAUAGAGGAGGAGUUUAGAAGAUUGGAGCUUUUGAUCAAAAGCAAAUGUGGAGGAGUAAUUAUUCAAUUUAUAAUUAUUAUAGGUCAAUCAUUUUUUUUUUUUUUUUUAGUAUUAGUAGUUAAUUAUGUUUAUUAGUAUUUUUAGGUUCUUCAAUUUGUUGUCUAGUUUUGGUGUUUGUCUUGUUCCUGUAUCUUACCAAAUUAUUCUUU